RNAcentral lists this unclassified non-coding RNA (271 nucleotides) under uncultured fungus. Its description in RNAcentral is "partial contains small subunit ribosomal RNA, internal transcribed spacer 1, and 5.8S ribosomal RNA". The stretch from base 1 to 73 matches the Rfam family "Eukaryotic small subunit ribosomal RNA", at positions 1759 to 1831 of the family's 1831-position model. The record is from RNAcentral. Lineage: Eukaryota; Fungi.
GCAAACUUGGUCAUUUAGAGGAAGUAAAAGUCGUAACAAGGUCUCCGUAGGUGAACCUGCGGAGGGAUCAUUACCGAGUGAGGGCCUUCGGGCUCGACCUCCAACCCCAUGUCAUCCGACCCUGUUGCCUCGGGGGAGACCCGGCCCGUUGGGCGCCAGGGGCCCCCGGUGGACCACUCAAACGCUGCAUCAUUGCGUCCGAGUCGUAUUUGAAUCAAUCAAAACUUUCAACAACGGAUCUCUUGGUUCUGGCAUCGAUGAAGAACGCAGC